Molecule: long non-coding RNA, 89 nt
Organism: Hippocampus comes (tiger tail seahorse)
Lineage: Eukaryota; Metazoa; Chordata; Actinopteri; Syngnathiformes; Syngnathidae
Exons: 3
Source: RefSeq, a predicted model, not a curated record
UUCUUGCCUAAUGCAAGACUUGUGCAAAGCACAGUCUAACUGUGCCCAUGGGUGGAGUUUUGGCUCUUUUUGCCUUUUGGUAGACUGGU